This 301-nucleotide ribosomal RNA is filed under the name uncultured bacterium. RNAcentral describes it as "partial 16S ribosomal RNA". It matches the Rfam family "Bacterial small subunit ribosomal RNA", at positions 509 to 809 of the family's 1533-position model. The record is from RNAcentral.
CAGUCGCCGCGGGAAAACGGAAGGUGCAAGCGUUACUCGGAAUCACUGGGCGUAAAGGACGCGUAGGCGGAUUAUCAAGCCUCUUGUGAAAUCUAACGGCUUAACCGUUAAACUGCUUGGGAAACUGAUAAUCUAGAGUAAGGGAGAGGCAGAUGGAAUUCUUGGUGUAGGGGUAAAAUCCGUAGAUAUCAAGAAGAAUACCUAUUGCGAAGGCGAUCUGCUGGAACUUAACUGACGCUAAUGCGUGAAAGCGUGGGGAGCAAACAGGAUUAGAUACCCGAGUAGUCCCUGUCUCUUAUAA